This 45-nucleotide non-coding RNA is filed under the name Echinostoma caproni. Lineage: Eukaryota; Metazoa; Platyhelminthes; Trematoda; Plagiorchiida; Echinostomatidae. The record is from RNAcentral.
GCACUAUUGACGAGUCCUAAACAGGACGAAACAGCUGUCUAAUGU